Molecule: unclassified non-coding RNA, 376 nt
Filed under: uncultured bacterium
Lineage: Bacteria
Description: contains 16S-23S intergenic spacer region
Source: RNAcentral
UCCGGUUUGUCACCGGCAGUCCCAUUAGAGUGCCCAACUGAAUGUAGCAACUAAUGGCAAGGGUUGCGCUCGUUGCGGGACUUAACCCAACAUCUCACGACACGAGCUGACGACAGCCAUGCAGCACCUGUGCACGGACUCCGAAGAGGAACCGAUGUUUCCACCGGUAGCAGUUACAUGUCAAGCCUAGGUAAGGUUCCUCGCGUAGUGUCGAAUUAAACCACAUGUUCCACCGCUUGUGCGGGCCCCCGUCAAUUUCUUUGAGUUUUAAUCUUGCGAUCGUACUUCCCAGGCGGAUCACUUAACGCGUUAGCUUCGACACUGAUCCGGCGAACCGAACCAACAUCUAGUGAUCAUCGUUUACGGCGUGGACUAC